CACCCUCGUGUCAGCUCCCAACUCCCUCUACAAGCAAGCCCCUGGGCACACAGAGCUUAUAAAUUCACUCACCAUACUGAAGUGGCCCACAGGAGUUGGGAAAAUAUUCUUUAUUUUGGCUUUGCACUGAUAGCAGGCACUGACUGACUGCUUGGCUUCCUAUAUUUUCAGGAGUUUCCAGUGUAGAUGUGAAUUUUGCUGUGGAGUCUGCAUUUUGUGAGAGGUGCAAGCUUUCCAUCUCCUUUCCAUCUCCUGUCCUUUAUUGGCUCUUUCCUGCCAGUGAGCCUCGGUUUGUGAUGACUGAUUCUGCUGGUGCCUGAUAAGGCAGUUUCGAUUCAGCUUCUCUCCUUCUUCCAGAACCCAGGCAGCACCUCCUGGCCACACCAAGUAACUCCUAAACUGGACUGAAAAAAAUGCCAAAAGCAAGCAAAAUUCCUUUGCAAUUGUUUCUCCUCCUCAAGAGGGCACCUGUAUCAAAUUAUUUGACAGGCACAGCUCUCUGUUGGUGUUCUAAAAGGGUCCACAUUGCACUUUCUGGUGUCAAACUUCCAAUUAUGGGUCAGCUAGCCAGGACCAGGAGAUUGUGUUGGAUUUACUAAGGCCAGCUUGGCUUAGACUUUCCUGAUGGCCAAGCGACUUUCAGACUCUCAGAAGACAUUUCAAUUUCAGACUGAGGGAAACAGGCAGAAGUUCAGGUGCUAUUUUAGCAGCUCCAGAGGUGCACAGAGCCCAUUGGUUCAUGGAAGGGGAAAAGUGGGACCUGCCAGCUCACAGCAAGUCAUUGAAGCAAUCCAAGC
This 797-nucleotide long non-coding RNA is filed under the name Catharus ustulatus (Swainson's thrush). RNAcentral describes it as "lncRNA (ENSCUSG00005000521.1)". The record is from RNAcentral. Lineage: Eukaryota; Metazoa; Chordata; Aves; Passeriformes; Turdidae.